This 537-nucleotide long non-coding RNA is filed under the name Pan troglodytes (chimpanzee). RNAcentral describes it as "lincRNA". The record is from RNAcentral. Lineage: Eukaryota; Metazoa; Chordata; Mammalia; Primates; Hominidae.
AUGAUGGAAACAGCCACCAUGUUGUGAGGACACUCAAUUAGCCUUGUGGAGAGACCCACAUGGGUGAGAAACUAAGGUCUGCCACCAACAGCCCACAUCCAUUGCCAGCUCUGAGAGCAAAUAGAUCCUGCAGACCUAGUCAAGCCUCAUUUGACUGACACCUCAGUCAACAUCUUGACUGCAAGCCCAUGCAAAACACUGAGCCAGAAACCACCCACCCAAGAAGCUGUGAAUUCCUGACUGGCAAAAAAUGCUGAGCAGAAAACCAGGAAGUGGAUGGACUCCACCUCCGCAGCCACGCCUGCCCGUUUGCGCUUACUGGACUGAGGUCCUCAGGAACGUGGUGAGACAAAGAGAAAGGAGGGCGUUUUCGCCACCCUCUUGCUAAUGCUUCAGUAACUCCCCAUUGCCCUAAUGAGCUCACCAUCAGAGCCUGAUUAAGACCUUUGGAGGCCCUAAAAUUAUAAGACCCACUAUCUCCAUCAAUGUAAUUAAAAAAAAAAAAAAACUUUAAAUGGAACUUUACCAAAAAGCCGA